UAGGGAAUCUUCGGCAAUGGACGAAAGUCUGACCGAGCAACGCCGCGCGAGUGAAGAAGGUUUUCGGAUCGUAAAACUCUGUUGUUAGAGAAGAACAAGGACGUUAGUAACUGAACGUCCCCUGACGGUAUCUAACCAGAAAGCCACGGCUAACUACGUGCCAGCAGCCGGGGUAAUACGUAGGUGGCAAGCGUUGUCCGGAUUUAUUGGGCGUAAAGCGAGCGCAGGCGGUUUCUUAAGUCUGAUGUGAAAGCCCCCGGCUCAACCGGGGAGGGUCAUUGGAAACUGGGAGGCUUGAGUGCAGAAGAGGAGAGUGGAAUUCCAUGUGUAGCGGUGAAAUGCGUAGAUAUAUGGAGGAACACCAGUGGCGAAGGCGGCUCUCUGGUCUGUAACUGACGCUGAGGCUCGAAAGCGUGGGGAGCAAACAGG
RNAcentral lists this ribosomal RNA (429 nucleotides) under Gemmatimonadota bacterium. RNAcentral's name for it is "Gemmatimonadetes bacterium partial 16S ribosomal RNA". It matches the Rfam family "Bacterial small subunit ribosomal RNA", at positions 355 to 776 of the family's 1533-position model. The record is from RNAcentral. Lineage: Bacteria; Pseudomonadati; Gemmatimonadota.